Molecule: long non-coding RNA, 126 nt
Organism: Sphaeramia orbicularis (orbiculate cardinalfish)
Lineage: Eukaryota; Metazoa; Chordata; Actinopteri; Kurtiformes; Apogonidae
Exons: 3
Source: RefSeq, a predicted model, not a curated record
UCCAGACCCCUAGAGAGAGAGAGAGUGAGUUGCAACACACUUUGAUGUCACCACUACGGUGAUCACAUGGUUCAUGUAAGCCUCAAUAGUUCCAAAACAAACCACGCGCUGUCAUGUUCCUCUAUG